This 101-nucleotide transfer-messenger RNA is filed under the name Gallicola sp. RNAcentral describes it as "partial transfer-messenger RNA". It matches the Rfam family "transfer-messenger RNA", at positions 271 to 374 of the family's 374-position model. From Rfam's summary of the family: Bacterial tmRNA, also known as 10Sa RNA or SsrA, is named for its dual tRNA and mRNA-like properties. Its role is to liberate the mRNA from a stalled ribosome. To accomplish this part of the tmRNA is used as a reading frame that ends in a translation stop signal. The record is from RNAcentral. Lineage: Bacteria; Bacillati; Bacillota; Tissierellia; Tissierellales; Peptoniphilaceae.
CUUUGUACAACUGCAAAUGAAAGACAAACAAAGGACUAAGCAUGUAGAAGUUAUGAUGGAUUAAGGUUUGGACAGGGGUUCGACUCCCCUCUAUUCCACCA